RNAcentral lists this non-coding RNA (24 nucleotides) under Arabidopsis thaliana (thale cress). The record is from RNAcentral. Lineage: Eukaryota; Viridiplantae; Streptophyta; Magnoliopsida; Brassicales; Brassicaceae.
GAGAAAUAAGAUGUUGUGUUGAUG